UGAGCGAUUUACUUCGGUAAAGAGCGGCGGACGGGUGAGUAACGCGUGGGUAACCUACCCUGUACACAUGGAUAACAUACCGAAAGGUAUGCUAAUACGGGAUAAUAUAUUUGAGAGGCAUCUCUUAAAUAUCAAAGGUGAGCCAGUACAGGAUGGACCCGCGUCUGAUUAGCUAGUUGGUAAGGUAACGGCUUACCAAGGCGACGAUCAGUAGCCGACCUGAGAGGGUGAUCGGCCACAUUGGAACUGAGACACGGUCCAAACUCCUACGGGAGGCAGCAGUGGGGAAUAUUGCACAAUGGGCGAAAGCCUGAUGCAGCAACGCCGCGUGAGUGAUGAAGGCCUUCGGGUCGUAAAACUCUGUCCUCAAGGAAGAUAAUGACGGUACUUGAGGAGGAAGCCCCGGCUAACUACGUGCCAGCAGCCGCGGUAAUACGUAGGGGGCUAGCGUUAUCCGGAUUUACUGGGCGUAAAGGGUGCGUAGGCGGUCUUUCAAGUCAGGAGUGAAAGGCUACGGCUCAACCGUAGUAAGCUCUUGAAACUGGGAGACUUGAGUGCAGGAGAGGAGAGUGGAAUUCCUAGUGUAGCGGUGAAAUGCGUAGAUAUUAGGAGGAACACCAGUUGCGAAGGCGGCUCUCUGGACUGUAACUGACGCUGAGGCAC
RNAcentral lists this ribosomal RNA (663 nucleotides) under uncultured Clostridium sp. Its description in RNAcentral is "bacterial SSU rRNA". It matches the Rfam family "Bacterial small subunit ribosomal RNA", at positions 63 to 754 of the family's 1533-position model. Lineage: Bacteria; Bacillati; Bacillota; Clostridia; Eubacteriales; Clostridiaceae. The record is from RNAcentral.